Mustela lutreola (European mink) is the source of this 5067-nucleotide long non-coding RNA. RefSeq lists it as uncharacterized. Lineage: Eukaryota; Metazoa; Chordata; Mammalia; Carnivora; Mustelidae. The record is from RefSeq and is a predicted model, not a curated record. The transcript has 2 exons.
GCCUGCGCGGGGGAAAAGCCGAGCGCGUGAGGGGCCACCUCCGGGGCCCACACCGCCCGCACUGCCGCGGGGCAGUCCCGUUCCGCCCUUUCCCAGCUCGUCAGCGUACUCAUCUAAGGUCAGGGGGUCCUCACGACCUUGUUACCCACACCCCGAGGAGAUCGCAGCACAGCACACACACCCCCGUACCGUAACGUCCGAGCUCUGGGAAAGAGGAGCACGCCCGCCCCGGCCACGCUUUUAUAGCAACGAUGCGGCCUGGUGACGUCAGCGCGCACGCCGCAGGCCUGCACCAAUCAGAAGGGGAAGCAUUCGAGACGACAGGUCGGGCCAGAGCGGCGAGCUGAGCUGGAGGACCGUGACCCCGUGGCCACGCGGGUCGCGGCGCACGCAAGCUAGGAAGGGGGAGGGGCGUCUCCCCCACUGUCCUGCUUGGGAUCGUCUUGGCGCUGUUUAUCGCCUGCAGCAACUUGACCUUUCUGGACAUCCAGACCACCAAGAAAGCACGUAGUAAAGCAAGACAAGGGACUUUUGGUUUCCCAGGGCAUUUAAAAGUUCUAUUCAUGUUACAGGGUGGUCUAUGACGUGCGCAACAGCAUGUCUAAAAAACCCACAAUGCACACAGCUCAAUUUUAAAAAUACUUCAUUUUGGUAACAAGUGCUGACCAUCAUCUGAGCCUUCAGGGUGGUAAUCUUUCUGCUGCUGGAGAGGCUUGCUGUUAGGGGUUAAUUGGACACGUAGGUCCUCAGGGUCAGGGUCCCCAACAAGAAAACACAGAGCCAGGACAGCUGAGAGAAAAACCGCACUAGCAUCCUGUUUCACAGCUUAGACAAAACCAUGAUAGCAUUCUGACUAGCAGCCUCUGCAGAAGCGACUUUUGCAAAACAUCCCGAAAUAAAACAAUUAACGUAAAACAUUGGUCACCAUCACAAGUUGAGGCAUUUAGUCUCCAGAUCAGCCCUAAAGAUCAUCAACAAGCAAACAACCCAACAGGUGAAUGGGUGCAUAAUCAAAACCCUGAUUGGGAUUUCUUAGCAGCCAAUCUACAGCAGACCCAACUCAGGAUGCUUAAGAUAGUUCCUCCAAGGAGCUUAUAAGAUCCCUAGACUUGAACUCCAAAACAGCGACCUUCUUGGGGUCCCUCCCUCUCUGCGAGCUUCGUACUAUGCUCAAUAGACUUGACUGCCCAUCACUCUUCGUUGGGUCUAACUCUUCAUUCUUCGAAGCAGUGUGACCAAGAACUGUGGGCACUAAGGGAACAAUCCUAUAAUGUUGUCUCCACCAUGUUGGUGGCUGCUACCUGGACAGGGUCAGGGAUGCUGAAGAUGGAGUGGCUGGGAAUACUCUGAAAAUAAGACAACAGUGAAGUUUGCCGCAUCAAUCGACUCUUCCUGUCCCAACUUCUCGGUGGCCGGUGAUGCUGUUUGCCAGCAUUUAACCGCAAUAGGACUGCUUUCUGUAGCUGCUUUCGAAAUUGGGAGUCGAAGCUCUAAAACUCUGCCGCUGCUUUACCAAGUCUGUUUGAUAGUCCAAAUCCUCAGUUGUCAUUUCAACAACGUGCACAGCAUCUUCUCCAGGUGUAGCUUCCGACUCAGGGAAACCCUCUCUUUGCUACUCCUUCAGAAGCGGCUCCUCGUCCGUUCGAGUUUGACCGCGAGCUUGCCGUGGUGCAGUCCCUUCUUCAGGCUCCACAGCAACUUCAGGUUCUCUUGCUCUUCCCACCACUCUGAUAGUGACUUCGUCCCUGAAGCCUUGAGCCCUUCAGAGUCACCCAUGAGGGUUGGAAUCCACUUCUUCCAAACGCCUGUUAAGGUGGGAGCUCUUCCCAUGAAUUACCAAUGUUCUUUUAUUUUUUUAAGUAGCCUCCAUAGGUGUAGAACUUGAACUCACCACCCUGAGAUCAAGACCUGAGCUGAGAUCAAGAGUCGGAUGCUUAACCGGCUGAGCCACCCAGGCACCCCAAAUCCCAAGUGCCCUUAAUGGCGUCUAGAAUGCUAAAUCUUCUCCAGAAGGUUUUCAGUCGACUUUGCCCAGGUGCAUCAGAGCCAUCACUAAGGCAGCUACAGCCUUGCAAAUCGUGUUUGCUCAUGCUAAGACCUGAAUGUUGAAAGGACGCCUUGAUCCAUGGGCUGCAGGACGGGUGUUGUGUUCGCAGGUGUGAACACAACAUUAAUCUCGUUGAACAUACCCAUCGGAGCCCAUGGGUCACCAGGUGCAUUGUCACCAGGGACAAGGAUGGUUGUUUUCCCUCUGACCAGUAGGUCUCAAGACUGGGCUUAAAAUAUUCAGUAACCAUGUUGUAAAGAGAUGUGCCGCCAUCCAGGCUUUGCUGCUGCGCCGACGGAGCCCAGGCAGAGGAGAUCGAGCAUCAUUCCCGAGGGCUCUAGGAGUCUCAGAGUGUCCCUGAGCACGGGCUCCAGCUUAAAGCCCCAACUGCCUUAGCCCCUGGCAGGACUUAGCCUGUCCUCUGCGGCUUUGAGGCCGGCACUGACUUCUCUCUAGUAAUGGGAGUCCUACAUGGCAUCCUCUGCCAGCAGGAGGCUGUCCCGUCCACACUGGAGAUCCGUGGUUAGUGCAGUCGCUGAGGCGGAUCACAUCAGCUGGCUCCGGGUAACUCGCGUCGGCUCCUCUGUCAGCACCAGCUGCUUCGCCUUACACUGUCCUGGGGACGGCUUCUUUCCUCCCACCUGCUGAACCACCUCUGCGGGCUUCAAACGGGUCUGCAGGCUCCACGCCUCCCUGGGCCUUCACAGAAUUGAAGGGAGUCAGGGCCUUGCUCGGGAUGAGCUCUUGCAAUAGUGUUCAGAACCUUAUCCUUUGUGCUUACAGCUGGGCCGUUUGGCACAACAGACCUGGCUUGGGCCUGAGAUUGGCCUUCGACCCGCCUUCCUCCCUAAGCUUAGUCAGUUCUCGCGCUGGAUUUAGAGGGAGAGACGUUCAUCUCUUCCUUUCACCGGACCCUGGCAGGCCACGGUGGGAGUAUUAACCAGCCUCAUCUCAGUACUGCCGGGUCUCAGGGAGCAGGGAGGCCCCGGGGAGAGGGCGCGAGACGGGGAACGGUAGGUUGAUGGGGCGUCGAGAACCCACAUUCAUUGUCUUAUGUGGGUGUGGUUUGUGGUGCCCCCAAAACAAUGAUGAUAGUGACAUCCAAGCUCACAGAUCACCAUCACACACACAUACACAAUAAUGAUAAUAAAGCUUGAAAUAUUGGGAUAAUUACCCAGAUCUGACCUAGUGAGACGAAGUGAGCAAAAGCUGUUGGGAAAAUGGCACCAGUAUAUUUUUGGAUGUGUCUGAAGCAUGUGUGUAUGUGUAAUGGCUCCUUGAAGCAUUUCCAUUGCAUUGGCCUUGGAGUCCUUGUCUGAAACAGUGUUGGUGGAGAGCUAGCAUCUAUGCACCUGCUCUUUUUCACUCCAAGGAGAUUUUCCUGGCUCUUGUUAUGAUGAGUGACCUUUUAAAAAAUUUUAAAAUUUCUUUUCUUUUUUCUUUUUUUUUAUUAUUUUAUUUAUUUUUAUUUCUUUUCAGCGUAACAGUAUUCAUUGUUUUUGCACCACACCCAGUGCUCCAUGCAAUCCAUGCCCUCCCUAAUACCCACCACCUGGUUCCCCCAACCUCCCACUCCACGCCCCUACAGAACCCUCAGAUUGUUUUUCAGAGUCCAUAGUCUCUCAUGAUUCAUCUCCCCUUCCAAUUUCCCUCAACUCCCUUCUCCUCUCCAUCUCCCCUUGUCCUCCAUGUUAUUUGGAUGAGUGACUUUUUUUUUUAAUGGAGACCUGGCGGGUUUGGAUGUGAUGUUUUGAGGGUCUGGAUCUUUUAUAUCUUCGGUCUCAGAGGCCUCUCCUGGCACAUUGCUGGGGUGCUGACUCAUUACUGCCACGUGGAAGGCACAGAGUCCAGGGGCCCCACGUGCCCUCCUGUGACCUCAGCUGUGUCCUUCCUGGGGUCUUCAUAGUCUGAGCCUGGCGGCCGAUUUUGCUCCACUUUUCAGAGUACUCAUGGGUCUUGUUUAUAGUCUGUGGGAGUUUCACCUGUGAACAAUGGGGUUCUGCAGGGAAACGGGUGUCCACUUCCUCUUGGCCCCAAACAGGACCUCCGAGAUGUAAUUGAUUUUUGUAUAUCGAUUGAUGUUUCAAGUGACGUGGCAUAAAUCCUUUUCAGAUUAGAGUAAUAGGUCUUUACCUUAUUUUGGAUAGUUCAUGCAUACAAUUUUGUGAUCCAUGAAUAAUCAUACUAUUUAUUUAUUCAUUCAUUCAUUCAGUUUCCAGAAGGAAAGAAAACAUUAUUAUUAUAGAAACCUAAGAGAACCCAAGUCAGGAUGCUUAAGAUAGUUCCUCCAAGGAGCUUAAGGAAGAGGAAUAGAAGAGGAAAUGAUUCCACACAUCGAUGAAGGUAAUAGUAGGCAACAAAUGAGAAUUAGGCAAAGUAACGUCGAAUUGGGCACUUACAGCACCCAGUCUCAUCAGCAGGGGGUGUCCAGGUGGAAACAGCCAGGCUGGAGUCCCUAGUCUAUCCAUUCAGUACUUAGCACGUUUUCCCCCCUUUACUUAAUUGGUUGGUUCUUCUCGUCAGAUUCUCAUGUCAAUUUUUGUUUUUUCAGGCCUGAUAAAACGGGCUGGGGAAGUACUCCAUCUUUCUCUAUUCUCAGGGGAAGCCUGUGUGAGUUCGGUAUGUGUAUGUGCACGUGUGUGUUCGUGUGUGCUACAUGUUCAUGCGUGUAGACAUGUCCACAAGUGUGCGUGUGUUCACAUAUUCACAAGUGUAGGUGUGUCCAUGUGCUCGUGUGUGUAUAUUUCACAAGUGCUUCAGUAUUUGGGGGCAUUCACCAGUGAAACUUUCCAGACUCAGUUCACCACUUUAGUGGGAAAAACUUUAACUGCAUACUCACUGCGUUUUACACACAGUGAUUCCGAUUUUCUAUUCAUCCUGGUGUCCGUUAGUUUGGUAACCUGUAUUUCUGAGGAUUUUGUCUGUUUCAUCUACCUUCUCUAAUAUUUUGGCAUAAAAUUGUUCAUAAUAUAAUAACAAUUAAUAAGAGUGAACAUAAUAAACUCUGUUAUCGAUUUAAA